UUAACACAUGCAAGUCGAACGAGAAAGCGGGGGCAACUUCGCAAGUACAGUGGCAGACGGGUGAGUAACACGUGAACAAUCUACCCUUGAGUGGGGAAUAACCCCGCGAAAGCGGGGCUAAUACCGCAUAACAUCCUGGGGCUGCAUAGCCCGAGGAUCAAAGGCUUCGGUCGCUUGAGGAAGGGUUCGCGCCUGAUUAGCUUGUUGGUGAGGUAACGGCUCACCAAGGCGACGAUCAGUAGCCGGCCUGAGAGGGCGAACGGCCACACUGGAACUGAGACACGGUCCAGACUCCUACGGGAGGCAGCAGUGGGGAAUUUUGCGCAAUGGGCGAAAGCCUGACGCAGCAACGCCGCGUGGAGGAUGAAGGCCCUCGGGUCGUAAACUCCUGUCAGGGGGGAAGAAAACCGGGCAACCGGUCUGACUGUACCCCCUGAGGAAGCCACGGCCAACUCCGUGCCAGCAGCCGCGGUAAUACGGAGGUGGCAAGCGUUGUUCGGAAUUAUUGGGCGUAAAGGGCGCGUAGGCGGCAAUGCAAGUCAGAUGUGAAAUCCCUGGGCUCAACCUAGGAAUUGCAUCUGAAACUGCGUUGCUUGAGUCCUGGAGGGGGUAGUGGAAUUCCCAGUGUAGCGGUGAAAUGCGUAGAUAUUGGGAGGAACACCGGCGGCGAAGGCGGCUACCUGGACAGUGACUGACGCUGAGGCGCGAAAGCUAGGGGAGCGAACGGGAUUAGAUACCCCGGUAGUCCUAGCCGUAAACGAUGGGCACUUGGUGUUGGGGGUAUUACUCCCUCAGUGCCGGAGUUAACACGUUAAGUGCCCCGCCUGGGGAGUACGGUCGCAAGACUGAAACUCAAAGGAAUUGACGGGGGCCCGCACAAGCGGUGGAGCAUGUGGUUCAAUUCGACGCAACGCGAAGAACCUUACCGGGGCUCGAACGGUAGUUGCUAUUCCUGGAAACGGGAAGUUCUCUUCGGAGACGGUUACCGAGGUGCUGCAUGGCUGUCGUCAGCUCGUGUCGUGAGAUGUUGGGUUAAGUCCCGCAACGAGCGCAACCCUUGCCCUUAGUUGCUACCAGGUUAUGCUGAGAACCCUAAGGGAACUGUCGGCGAAAAGCCGGAGGAAGGUGGGGAUGACGUCAAGUCCUCAUGGCCCUUACGUCCCGGGCUACACACGUGCUACAAUGGUCGGUACAAAGGGUCGCCAACCCGCGAGGGGGAGCUAAUCCCAAAAAGCCGAUCUCAGUUCGGAUUGCAGUCUGCAACUCGACUGCAUGAAGUUGGAAUCGCUAGUAAUCGCAGAUCAGAACGCUGCGGUGAAUACGUUCCCGGGCCUUGUACACACCGCCCGUCACAUCACGAAAGUGGGUUGUACUAGAAAUCGCCGAGCUAACCUCGCAAGAGGAGGCAAGCGCUUAAGGUAUGAUUCAUGAUUGGGGUGAAGUCGUAACAAGGUA
RNAcentral lists this ribosomal RNA (1455 nucleotides) under metagenome. RNAcentral's name for it is "bacterial SSU rRNA". It matches the Rfam family "Bacterial small subunit ribosomal RNA". The record is from RNAcentral.